AGUGAACGCUGGCGGUAGGCCUAACACAUGCAAGUCGAACGGCAGCACAGUAAGAGCUUGCUCUUACGGGUGGCGAGUGGCGGACGGGUGAGGAAUACAUCGGAAUCUACUUUUUCGUGGGGGAUAACGUAGGGAAACUUACGCUAAUACCGCAUACGACCUACGGGUGAAAGCAGGGGAUCUUCGGAUCUUGCGCGAUUGAAUGAGCCGAUGUCGGAUUAGCUAGUUGGCGGGGUAAAGGCCCACCAAGGCGACGAUCCGUAGCUGGUCCGAGAGGAUGAUCAGCCACACUGGAACUGAGACACGGUCCAGACUCCUACGGGAGGCAGCAGUGGGGAAUAUUGGACAAUGGGCGCAAGCCUGAUCCAGCCAUACCGCGUGGGUGAAGAAGGCCUUCGGGUUGUAAAGCCCUUUUGUUGGGAAAGAAAAGCAGCAGGUUAAUACCCCGCUGUUCUGACGGUACCCAAAGAAUAAGCACCGGCUAACUUCGUG
Molecule: ribosomal RNA, 492 nt
Filed under: uncultured bacterium
Lineage: Bacteria
Description: partial 16S ribosomal RNA
Rfam family: Bacterial small subunit ribosomal RNA
Source: RNAcentral